GAUGAACGCUAGCGGCAGGCCUAAUACAUGCAAGUCGAGGGGCAGCACGGCAGCAAUGCUGGUGGCGACCGGCGCACGGGUGCGUAACGCGUAUGCAACCUACCUUUGACAGUGGGAUAGCCCCGAGAAAUCGGGAUUAAUACCGCAUAACAAUGCGAUCUGGCAUCAGAAUGCAUUUAAAACUCCGGUGGUCAAAGAUGGGCAUGCGUGACAUUAGCUGGUUGGUGAGGUAACGGCUCACCAAGGCUACGAUGUCUAGGGGUUCUGAGAGGAUGAUCCCCCACACUGGUACUGAGACACGGACCAGACUCCUACGGGAGGCAGCGCCAAGGCACACAGGGGAUAGGG
This 348-nucleotide ribosomal RNA is filed under the name uncultured Bacteroidota bacterium. Its description in RNAcentral is "bacterial SSU rRNA". It matches the Rfam family "Bacterial small subunit ribosomal RNA", at positions 28 to 375 of the family's 1533-position model. Lineage: Bacteria; Pseudomonadati; Bacteroidota. The record is from RNAcentral.